CAACUCUACGCGUCAGCUGGGCGAAACCCAUCUGUUUACUUCGUGGCUCUUGGUAGAAGGCCAUAAGGUAAUAUCGUUCCAUCAUUUCUCCGCAAUUAUUUAUUAAUAUUCCUUUCUUCCUCUAUUUUCAGGUACCGGGAAACAUGCUACGGUGGCCUGCCUGAUGCCGUGAUUGCAGGUUCAUGAAACCCAUCCUCUUGGGUAUGGAUGUAUUUCAUAAAUCCUGACAAUCACUUGCAUCAGGUCUGCAAUCUCUCGGCAGGUUCCCCCUCGCAGAGCUGGGGUUAGCCAUCGGGCCACAUAUAAAAAAGGCAGCCCCAGUUCUCCAACGUUUGCCCGGGGAAGCCGCCGUGAAAUAAACACCGCUUCCCCCAGCCUGUAAGAAUGGGAUCCAGUAAUUGACCAUUCCAACGAGGGACAAUAAGAACAACUGAAAACAAAAAAAAAACUUGCGCAUGGCCGACCACACGUUCACAUUGCUGUCGCUGGUCUGCCGAACGGUGUGCCCAAGUUAAUCCCAACUCCUCCUGUCGCAGGAAGGCACUAGGAGUGGGGAGUGUGACGUGGAAGUCGGCCGCCACGCAGACGUAAAGGCCUCUUUAUAGGGGACAUCCACGCCAAUUUUUUUUUUCCUCUGGCACGUGGUAUACUAGGGUGUCCCGCAACAAAACUCCUGGCCUGACAAGAGAUUCGCCGGCAGGGCUGGUGUGCGGGAAAAUCAGAAGUGGUAUCGAAGAGUUAUAGUGCAACGUGGGGAACUCCCACACCCUGAAUCAAAGCCGGGUAUCAUGAAUAAAGUCAGGGAAGUACCGAAGUCGCUCACUUGUCCCAAGGUCACUUUACCCUCUAGUAUCUCGUUAUAGGUUUUGGCUGAUCCUAGCACUACAUUUGCAUAUGAUAAGAAGUUCGGAAAGUUUGGGAUAUCUCAUGAUCGGACAUGGAUAGCAAUUUCCGUGCCAACUUAUAGUCCGUGCCAUUAGAAUACAUCUCGUAACCGAAUAAUGAAAAGAAAGGGGUUGCUCCAGUUGCCGAAUGGACUGAUGUUCUAAGAGCGCACUCGAUCUCCGAUAAGUAGAGAUCCCAAUCUCGAUGGUCUUCAUUCAAAUAUGUCCUUAUGGCCGAUAUGACAGACUGAUUUACACGUUCGGAAGCAUUGGAUUGGGAUGAUGAUGCUAUUUCUCUGAUCUGGGGGAAUUCAGGAUUGGACGUGGCCCCCCGGCAUACUCCACGCCCUGAUUCAGGUUUCCCUGUUUACAGGACGGGCAUUUGGGAGAAAUAGUCCCAGGUUUUCCACAACGGUAGCAAAACAAAUUUCUUUCUGUGGAGUCGCAGUUUCUGAAAGUGUGGCCUUGUUUCUGGCAAUUCCAACAUAAUAAAGUUGGUUUCGUUUUUCGGAUGAACUGUAUGGCGGAUACUCCCUCACAUUUAGAAGAUUCGUGGUCACAUUCGGAUGAACCUUCCGCGUAUAUUUCGCUGACCUGACGAAUUGGACGAGAUGGAAGUACAGGUCUUAUUUCCCUUCUUGGAAAAUUCUUCUCCGCUUCAUUGCACUCUAUUCUCAGCUGUUCAACGGACGAAACUUGAAUGGGGUUGGACUAACUUAGCCCUAAUCUGGCCCAUAAUAUGGAAAAAUGUAUCAAUAGACUCAUUUGGUUGUUGUUUACGCUGAGCUAAUUCUGUCACUAUUUCAAAAUUGGAUCUGGUGGAUUGAUAUUGGCUUAACAAACUAUGCUUCAAACUGGGCCAAUCCGAAAACUUAUUAGUUUUCAGGGAUAGCCAAUACCAUGACUCGGCUGGACCGGAUACUAUUAAAGAAAAAUCCCUUAAUAUCUCUGCCCAUGGAAUAUGGUACUGUCCCUGAAAGUAUUCAAGACGAUACACGAACUCUUCAACGGAAAUACCCCCUGAAAUGCCAUCAAACCUUAGUCCCAACUUGUCUAUUCGCACACGCUUAUUUUCCCUCAGUGUAUCAUUCGGAAAAUGACUACAUACUGAACCUGCCACCGAAUUGCCAUUGGUUGGGCGGUUGCCAUUAUUUCCUGUUUCUGGUGCAGACAAAUUGUCCAAGCCCCCUAAGCCAGAAUUAGAUGCCGGUGAACUGGGUACAUUCCGAUUCAAGGUAAGUUCAGUUAACCUUUUUACAGCCUCUGAUAACUGUCCUAUUGUAUUCUUCAAACCACCUAAUUCAUUCUGGAUCAUACAAACAUUGUUUUCGAGGGCUCUUUGUUGCCUAAGGACCUCUACAUUACCAUUUCCUGGCGGUUCAGACCUGGCCCCUCCAAUCGGUGUCCCACCAGCUGAUGGACCCGAUGUAUUGUUGUUGCCUGUCCCCGAUCUUAUUGUCCCAGACAAAUCGGUGAUUUGGCUUGUACUAGCCUGGUUUCCAACAGACAUAUCGGAAUUUUUCUCUUUUUCGCCUGGGAUCGAGUCUGAAUGCUCAUAACCUUUCUCUAAUUGGACAAUAAUUUUAACGCCUAUAUUAAAUUAUUAGUUUAUUUAGAGUAUUUAUUUUUCUCUUCACUUUCUAGAACACAUAUAUUAUAUUCGGGGGUUUUACGUGAGUAGUGGUGGGUACGGGUUAUAUUAUUGACUCUCUUUCGAGCACCAGUCUGAAAUCUGGGAAAUCAAAAUUAAAACAAAACAAAAUUUUUUUUUUUUUUUUUUGUGCUUUCGACACCAAUAUCUUGCAAAUGAUGCCAAUUUCAUACCUAUUUGCCUGAUACAACGGACCUCUAAAUCCUAUCUAGAGCGGCUAUCAGGUCUAACAUAGAUCUGGACACCACAUUAAACUGUAACUAACACUACACAAAAAUAACGACACAGUAUGCUUAGUGCAAAAUACAUUUUCACAUAAAAAAGUAUGCCACUAAAUCCUCCUGUUGUUGGAUUAUUCACGUCCUCCUUCAUUUCCAGUUUUGAAGUAUCGGCUCUUCGUACAACGGACUUUUGAAAUUUCCAAAACGGUUACGAAGCUUUCGAACCUCUCCACUUUCCAAUCAGGGUUCAGUGUUGGUCUAUUUCUUUAAUUGAAAUGGGCUAUUACUUUGUGCUUUGGUGACCUACACAAACAUAAUUAACACAACAUUUGACAAAAAUGCUGAAAAUCUUUUAUUGGGCGCCAUAUUGUUACGAGGCCCCUAUUUGCGGCCAAAAAUGAUUUGGGCACCGGCUAGAUUUCGUCGCCUUAUCAGGGGAGGUCCCAUCCCAUCAUCUUUCGCCCCGGGGUCGUAUCAAUAAAUAAAAAUGUUCUAACAAACUAGACAACACUAACACACAAGCACAGAUUUCUUCCUAAGUGGGAGGUAGAUGGAAACCUCCAGUCGCCCUGCCCUACCAUGGUCAUGUGGACAUCCCCUUCUUCAAACAUGAUCCCUGUAUCCCGCUCAAGCCACCACACCUACCUCACGUUGACACCCCCCUUAUAUCCACAAUUUAGCACAACAUAUUUCUUUUUUUUUUUUUUAAACAAGUCACAACAUCAUAAAUUUUAUUUAAAAUAUAAAGGCCUAAAACUAACGCAAUUCGUAUUAAGAUUCCUGUCUUUCUUUUAUCAAAAUCAUCAACAAUAAACUGACAGUACUGAGUUUUAACUAAA
Molecule: long non-coding RNA, 3595 nt
Organism: Stomoxys calcitrans (stable fly)
Lineage: Eukaryota; Metazoa; Arthropoda; Insecta; Diptera; Muscidae
Exons: 5
Source: RefSeq, a predicted model, not a curated record